Molecule: long non-coding RNA, 1249 nt
Filed under: Zonotrichia albicollis (white-throated sparrow)
Lineage: Eukaryota; Metazoa; Chordata; Aves; Passeriformes; Passerellidae
Description: lncRNA (ENSZALG00000009709.1)
Source: RNAcentral
AUUAAUGGGACUGACCUUGAGCGGUGACAGGAGCCGAGGAUGCCCCCGGGAAGAGGCAGCCCCGCAGUGCUGAGGAAGAUGAGGAGGAUGAGGAUGGUUCCCCCCCCGAGGGUCCCCAGCACCUUUGGGUGCUGCUGGGAGAGCUUUGGGAACAACACCAGGCUCUGCUGUUUGCAAGGCUUUGCUGGGAUGAAUCCAUGGAGAGCAAGGAGAGCUCCUGGUGUGCGAACCACUCCUCUGGAUGCAUGAAAACACAUCCCAAAACCUAUUUUUGGGAGGUUUUUCCAAAAAAAGCCAAGAGUCGGCACUGAGCUUCACACUUGGAGUUGUUCUUUUUCACCCCCAGGACCCUCAAAGGAGAUAAAUCCCUCAUAAACCAGAAAGAAUUAAUCCAAACCAGCCCUGGGGAUGUGUCAGGUGAGUGAAAGCCUCACUCCAAGCCUCUGUUUUUCCCAUUAUUUUCCAAUAAUGCACGCAGGGAAAUUCCUUGGUGGUGGCAGGAGCAUCCCAGCCCUGCCCCAGAGCUGAAUCCUGAGUGGCUGAUCCUAAAACAUGAUUAAAAAUACAUCUCAAUUCCCUCCCUUCCAGAAAUCCAUUUGUAUCCUCAGCCCUCCCUUCUAUAGUUCUGAUAAUGACAGAAAUAGAGGAAUCCCGUAAUUGCCAUAAAUUCAUUUUAUGUGAUUAUUUCUAAGGAGAUGGAGGGGGGUGGGGGGAAAAGCCUUUUAUUGGAAUUAAUUGUCCAGCUGGAUUAAUGAUUUAUUCCGUGGAUCCAUGGCUCUGUCACUGGUCCCAGAGGCCACCCCAAGGUUCUCCAUCCUCCCAGAAAAAAAUGGGUGGAAAAAGCAAAAAAAAAAGGGCUGAAAUACUUCAAUACUUCACUCCUGAGCACAUCCCAGCAAAUUGCUCUGACUUUUGGGUGCCCCAAAGAGUGCAAAGGCACAUUAGGUAUUGAAUGCAAUAUUUAUAAUAUUAAAAUGAAUAUUUUAAUAGCCCCAUAAAAGGAGCGGAAGGAAGAAGAAAAGCAGUGGCGCCAAAGCCGCUCCUUCCUGCGAGAUAAAAAUGUUUCAUUUCACUUUUACUGCUCGGCUCCAUCCCUGCCUCCACUUUUAUAUUCUAUUAAAAUAUUAAUUUCGGGGUAGAACGGAGGGAUUUAAUAUUUCAGCUGAUUUAAAAAGUCAAUAUUAUCAAAGUUGGGGGUUGGGGAGGGGGUCUCAGAGGAGAACAUCUCAAUAGACCAGCAGUGACAUUA